AUUGAACGCUGGCGGCAGGCCUAACACAUGCAAGUCGAGCGGAUGAAGGGAGCUUGCUCCUGGAUUCAGCGGCGGACGGGUGAGUAAUGCCUAGGAAUCUGCCUGGUAGUGGGGGAUAACGUCGGGAAACGGGCGCUAAUACCGCAUACGUCUUGAGGGGGAAAGGGGGGGAUCUUCGGACCUCACGCUAUCAGAUGAGCCUAGGUCGGAUUAGCUAGUUGGUGGGGUAAAGGCCUACCAAGGCGACGAUCCGUAACUGGUCUGAGAGGAUGAUCAGUCACACUGGAACUGAGACACGGUCCAGACUCCUACGGGAGGCAGCAGUGGGGAAUAUUGGACAAUGGGCGAAAGCCUGAUCCAGCCAUGCCGCGUGUGUGAAGAAGGUCUUCGGAUUGUAAAGCACUUUAAGUUGGGAGGAAGGGCAGUAAGUUAAUACCUUGCUGUUUUGACAUUACCAACAGAAUAAGCACCGGCUAACUUCGUG
This 484-nucleotide ribosomal RNA is filed under the name uncultured bacterium. RNAcentral describes it as "partial 16S ribosomal RNA". It matches the Rfam family "Bacterial small subunit ribosomal RNA", at positions 30 to 507 of the family's 1533-position model. The record is from RNAcentral.